Juglans microcarpa x Juglans regia is the source of this 190-nucleotide long non-coding RNA. RefSeq lists it as uncharacterized. NCBI's taxonomy places the organism in Eukaryota, Viridiplantae, Streptophyta, Magnoliopsida, Fagales, Juglandaceae. The record is from RefSeq and is a predicted model, not a curated record. The transcript has 2 exons.
AAGCACAAUUAAAAGUGGGAAAAGACAGAGAUUCAAAGAGCGAAAAAGCAGAGGAAAUGAUGCUCUCGAACUGGAAGUGUAAAUUACAAUCCAGGAAGUUGAUAAUUGAAUUAAAAAGAGUGAGAUUAGAGAAAAUGAGAGAGAGAGAGGGAGAGAAGAGAGAGAGAGAGAGAGAGAGAGAGAGAGAGAA